This 73-nucleotide transfer RNA is filed under the name Halorubellus sp. JP-L1. It matches the Rfam family "tRNA". Rfam says of the family: Transfer RNA (tRNA) molecules are approximately 80 nucleotides in length. Lineage: Archaea; Methanobacteriati; Methanobacteriota; Halobacteria; Halobacteriales; Halorubellaceae. The record is from Rfam by way of RNAcentral.
GGGCGUGUGGCCUAGCGGAUAGGGCGGGAGGUUCCUAACCCCCCGAUCGCGGGUUCGAACCCCGCCGCGCCCG